GAUGAACGCUGGCGGCGUGCCUAAUACAUGCAAGUCGAGCGAACAGACGAGGAGCUUGCUCCUCUGACGUUAGCGGCGGACGGGUGAGUAACACGUGGAUAACCUACCUAUAAGACUGGGAUAACUUCGGGAAACCGGAGCUAAUACCGGAUAACAUGUUGAACCGCAUGGUUCAACAGUGAAAGACGGUCUUGCUGUCACUUAUAGAUGGAUCCGCGCCGCAUUAGCUAGUUGGUAAGGUAACGGCUUACCAAGGCAACGAUGCGUAGCCGACCUGAGCGGGUGAUCGGCCACACUGGAACUGAGACACGGUCCAGACUCCUACGGGAGGAAGCAGUAGGGAAUCUUCCGCAAUGGGCGAAAUCCUGACGGAGCAACGCCGCGUGAGUGAAGAAGGUCUUCGGAUCGUAAAACUCUGUUAUUAGGGAAGAACAAAUGUGUAAGUAACUAUGCACGUCUUGACGGUACCUAAUCAGAAAGCCACGGCUAACUACGUG
RNAcentral lists this ribosomal RNA (497 nucleotides) under uncultured bacterium. RNAcentral describes it as "partial 16S ribosomal RNA". It matches the Rfam family "Bacterial small subunit ribosomal RNA", at positions 28 to 507 of the family's 1533-position model. The record is from RNAcentral.